AACGAACGCUGGCGGCAUGCCUAACACAUGCAAGUCGAACGAGACCUUCGGGUCUAGUGGCGCACGGGUGCGUCACGCGUGGGAACCUGCCCUUAGGUUCGGAAUACCUCCCCGACAGGGGUGCUAAUACCGGAUAAUGUCUUCUGACCAAAGAUUUAUCGCCUUUGGUUGGGCCCGCGUUGGAUUAGCUAGUUGGUAGGGUAAAAGCAUACCACGGCGACGAUCCAUAGCUGGUCUGAGAGGAUGAUCAGCCACACUGGGACUGAGACACGGCCCAGACUCCUACGGGAGGGAGGAGUGGGGAAUAUUGGACAAUGGGCGAAGGCCUGAACCAGCAAUGCCGGGUAAGUGAUGAAGGCCUUAGGGAUGUAAAGCUCUUUUAACCGGGAUGAUAAUGACAGUACCGGGAGAAUAAGCUCCGGCUAACUCCGUG
Molecule: ribosomal RNA, 433 nt
Filed under: uncultured bacterium
Lineage: Bacteria
Description: partial 16S ribosomal RNA
Rfam family: Bacterial small subunit ribosomal RNA
Source: RNAcentral